GUUGUUUAGCACAUCUAAAGAUAAAAAUAACAUGGCUUUAUUGCUUACAAAUAAUGUCCAUAGAAAAGAAGAUAACUCAAUUAUGGAUCAGAAUGGCCUCGUCCAAUCUGUUUUAUUCUCAUAAAAAUAGAGAAAGCCAAGAGAAAAUACUUUUCAGCAAAGAAAAAUGAUUGAUUACAUCAUUUAGGAUUAUCACCCUCAUUCUCAAACCAUUGAAACCGGCUAUUGAAGGUUUCCGGCAAAUUCUUAUCUCCGGCAACUCUCCGGUCGUCUUCUCCGACAAGCCGCCGGCAAAAAUGAGUUUUUCCGGCGGACUUUUCUCGACUGCCAUCCAAGCGGCAUCCACCGCCAGUGUUGCUGCUUAGCUUUCUCCACCCUCCCCUCUCUCCCUCUUGUCGAUUUGAUGCCAGAAAAAGGUAGAAGGGACGCAGGCAGCAAGCCACCUGCCAUCACCAGAACCCACCUGCGACCUCCCUUUUGUCGCCGGUAAACCACCAUUACCACCUCCUGCUGCUUGCUGCUGCUAUAAGUCAUCAAGCCAAGACCCAAGGACCCGUCGAAAAUUUCAUUUUUGUCGGAGGCUCGCCGGAGAAGACGACCGGAAAGUCGCCGAAGAUAAGAAAUUGUCAGAAACCUUCAUUAGUCAGUUUCAAUGGUUUCUGUAUGGUAAAUGAGAUACAAAAAAAAAAAAAAAAUGACCAAUUGAAUACAAAGACAACAAUUAAUUACCCUAAUAAAUCAUUUCUAUUUCCCUUUCGACUUA
Lactuca sativa (garden lettuce) is the source of this 763-nucleotide long non-coding RNA. RefSeq lists it as uncharacterized. Lineage: Eukaryota; Viridiplantae; Streptophyta; Magnoliopsida; Asterales; Asteraceae. The record is from RefSeq and is a predicted model, not a curated record.